RNAcentral lists this ribosomal RNA (404 nucleotides) under uncultured bacterium. RNAcentral's name for it is "bacterial SSU rRNA". It matches the Rfam family "Bacterial small subunit ribosomal RNA", at positions 28 to 423 of the family's 1533-position model. The record is from RNAcentral.
GACGAACGCUGGCGGCGUGCUUAACACAUGCAAGUCGAGCGGUAAGGCCCUUUCGGGGGUACGACGAGCGGCGAACGGGUAGAGUAACACGUGGGUGGACCUCGCCCUCCAGCUCUGGGAGUAAGCCUGGGAAACGUAGGGUCGUAAUACUGGAUAUGACUCCACGGUGCAUGUCGUGGGGUGGAAAGCCUUGUGCGGCUGAGGAUGGGCCCGCGGCCUAUCAGCUUGUUGGUGGGGUGAGGCCUACCAAGGCGACGACGGGUAGCCGGCCUGAGAGGGCGACCGGCCACACUGGGACUGAGACACGGCCCAGACUCCUACGGGAGGCAGCAGUGGGGAAUCUUGCGCAAUGGGCGAAAGCCUGACGCAGCGACGCCGCGUGAGGGAUGACGGGCCCUUCGGUU